Molecule: long non-coding RNA, 517 nt
Organism: Rhea pennata
Lineage: Eukaryota; Metazoa; Chordata; Aves; Rheiformes; Rheidae
Exons: 3
Source: RefSeq, a predicted model, not a curated record
GCCCGGGACGCCGCGUUGCCGCCGUCGUGCACUGCUCCGGGCCCUGCGAGGAGGAGAGAAGAAGGUGAAGAGCAGGCAGGGGAGAAGGGAACGGGCCGAGGCUUUUCUGGCCGGAGGAGGUCUCUCCCGUGAGCCGAUGAGGCCGGGAGCUCCUGUCUGCGGGUGCAAGGUGGAUGGUGCUCCCGCACGGGAGGACGGAGGCUCCGCAGGCACAGAGGAGAGCUCCCGCUCUGGGCGAGCGGAGACUGGAGCGGGCCGAGCGGGCAGGGAGCGGCGGUAAUGGCAGGAGGGCAGGGGAGCCAUCCCCGUCCGGAAGGUGCGGGACUCAGUGUGGCAUCGCUGUCGUGGAGUCGUGGGCACGUGAGAAAUGGGAGGCGGCUGGAGGAAGACGGCUCCGCGGCAAGGAGCGAUCCGUGCACGUACUUCGCACUUGUAUUGCACCCUGCACCUGGAGGUCAGGAGGCACGGCCAGAGGGCAAGGCGGCCAGGACAAGAGCGGCGCUACGGAGCCGGGCCA